Molecule: long non-coding RNA, 935 nt
Organism: Rhineura floridana
Lineage: Eukaryota; Metazoa; Chordata; Lepidosauria; Squamata; Rhineuridae
Exons: 4
Source: RefSeq, a predicted model, not a curated record
AUGAUCAUGGGAACAACAGUAAGAUUCAACUCUGGAAAGCAGAGGCAUGGUAUGGAUAUCCCAGCUAAUGCGAGUUACCUGCAAAUGACAGUGGCUCAUUAGAGUGAACAACACAGUUAACUCCCAGAGUUUCCUGCUCCAUAGACCGUAAGCAAACACUCUGCUAUGCAAGGAUGGCUAAUCUGAAAACAUGGCACCUCUCCCUCUUCUCGUUUCCAUUGCUAUGAUGACUCAGGCUACAUUAUUGAGAUCAUGGUCACCAUGACCUGGAAGAAUCCUGAUGAGCAAGACCCAUUUUGGAAGGUCAAUAAUCAAAUAUAUCGCAGUUUUCUACAUUUCAAUUACCAACAAAGUUCCUGAUUUCAGUGGAGCUUACUUCCAGUGUUCUCCAAAUAUUGUCCACCUCUUUUUGUGAUGGGCCUCAUUCCACUCUCCCACACUGCUCUGGAACAACGCUAACUCUGGGAUAUUGUGGAGAAUAUAAAAUGGAGGUGAGGAUGCCAGCGUGGCACACUUGCUGCUCUGCCCCUUGUAAUGGCAGAAGAAAAAAAGUGGGAAAAGAGAAGAAGUUGUGCUAUUGCUUUUUGUGAGAAAAUUUGGUGAAAUAGGCCAUCCAAUUUCUCAGCCCAUAAGAAGGGUGAAGAAUUUCAACAGGCAAUUUGCUUACAACUCUAGAAUUUACCCCCUUAUAGCGACAGAAGAUUUUUGUGCCAUCUGACCUUCCAAGCAUGUCUUACUUGCUUAGAAUAAUGCUGCUAGCUGUACGUCAAGGGAGAAAAGAAAGAGGAAAAGCAUUAUACCACUGGUUGAUAUUCCUGGUCCUUUCCUUUGUUUAUAUUUUUGUAAAUGUCACUUCUAAUUGAGAUGGUUUUAGCUUCUUUGAAAGAAGCUUAUUGAAGCUUAUUGUGGGAAUAUGUUAAUUAAACUUUCUACAU